RNAcentral lists this unclassified non-coding RNA (725 nucleotides) under Hevea brasiliensis (rubber tree). Lineage: Eukaryota; Viridiplantae; Streptophyta; Magnoliopsida; Malpighiales; Euphorbiaceae. The record is from RNAcentral.
GGCCAAUUCAAAGUUGCUACACUAUAGAAUGUGCAUUUUCUAUAUUAUUACUUAAAAAGAGGAGUUCAUGACAUUUUCCUGUUAAGGGUGUUUCUGUAAGACUCCUUCGUCACCCCAUAAUAAACAGGGCUACUGCCUCCAAAUGUUAUGAAGUUCCAACCAAAAACUGAACCACCCACAAUAUAACUCUUUCGUGUCCGGCGAUCAUCAAGCUUCAUCUGUGAGUUGAAAUUUGUAUGUGUUUUCUGUUCUGCAGGUUGUUCUGAUGGCUUUUUAUGCCGAAGCAACUCUGGUACUUCUCUAUCCUUUUGUCUGUCCCAGGAUUGUUUUACAGGCAUGCUUUUACCUGAGGAAGGCUGACAUUCCAACACAAACUUCUCAAGGGGAUCUAUCUCCAUGGUCAUCUGCUUGCAUGAAUCCAUCACAAGCUUCAUUUGUAUUCGAAGUUCAUGAGCUGCUUUACAAUUCCGAAAGUCAGGUGACUGAAGCACCUGGAUAAACUGGGGACGGAGUUGUCGAACAAGGGCGCGAAUUUUGAAGUAGGAGGAAUUGCGGAGUUCGACGCUGCUAAGCUUUCUUUUGUUGGAGUGGGUUCGUGGUGGUUGUGGAUCUGUGGAGAAUUGAACGGGCUUUGUUUCUUCCAUUGAAAAGAACCCUAUGGCCUACACAACCACGGAGAGUGGAUCUUUUGAUUUGCUUCUCUCUCAAUCAAUUCUCUGCUUUCC